GUGCCAGCCGCCGCGGUAAUACGGAGGGGGCGAGCGUUGUCCGAAGUUACUGGGCGUAAAGAGCGCGUAGGCGGGUUGGCAAGUCCGCUGUGAAAGCCCGGAGCUUAACUCCGGAGGGUCGGUGGAUACUGUCAGUCUUGAAGUUGCUAGGGGGAGAUGGAAUUACCGGUGUAGCGGUGAAAUGCGUAGAGAUCGGUAGGAACACCAGUGGCGAAGGCGGUCUCCUGGAGCACACUUGACGCUGAGGCGCGAAAGCUGGGGGAGCAAACGGGAUUAGAUACCCCCGUAGUCC
Molecule: ribosomal RNA, 292 nt
Filed under: uncultured bacterium
Lineage: Bacteria
Description: partial 16S ribosomal RNA
Rfam family: Bacterial small subunit ribosomal RNA
Source: RNAcentral